Molecule: ribosomal RNA, 430 nt
Filed under: uncultured bacterium
Lineage: Bacteria
Description: partial 16S ribosomal RNA
Rfam family: Bacterial small subunit ribosomal RNA
Source: RNAcentral
GUGGGGAAUAUUGCACAAUGGGCGGAAGCCUGAUGCAGCAACGCCGCGUGCGGGAUGACGGCCUUCGGGUUGUAAACCGCUUUCAGCAGGGACGAAGCGUGAGUGACGGUACCUGCAGAAGAAGCACCGGCUAACUACGUGCCAGCAGCCGCGGUGAUACGUAGGGUGCGAGCGUUGUCCGGAUUUAUUGGGCGUAAAGAGCUUGUAGGCGGUUGGUUGCGUCGAAAGUGCAAACUCAGGGCUUAACUCUGAGCCUGCUUUCGAUACGGGCUGACUGGAGGAAGGUAGGGGAGAAUGGAAUUCCCGGUGGAGCGGUGGAAUGCGCAGAUAUCGGGAGGAACACCAGUGGCGAAGGCGGUUCUCUGGACCUUUCCUGACGCUGAGAAGCGAAAGCGUGGGGAGCAAACAGGCUUAGAUACCCUAGUAGUCC